CCAGCACCUCCGCCUCCCCAUUAAGCGCCUCUCCAACCUCUCCCUUUCUGCCACCACUCCAAAGAAAACCCCACUUAUCUCUGCAUCAAUGUAAGCUGGAAUUGGUGUAAUGGGCACGAAGCUAGGCAUGAUGUCAUUCUUCGACGAUUCUGGGGCUAUAAUCCCCGUAACUGUAGUCGGAUUCCGAGAGGGCAACAUUGCUACUCAGGUCAAGACCGAGCUCACUGAUGGUUACAAUGCAGUUUAGGUCGGGUAUAGGUGAGUCCGAGACCGAAAAUUGACGAAACCGGAGAUGGGCCAUCUGGAGAAGUUCGGAAUUAUCCCGUUGUGCCACUUACAGGAAUUUAGGCUCCAGACCGUUGAUGGGUUUGAGCCCAAUCAGAGACUUUCGAUUGAGGAAUUGUUUAAGGAAGGGGAUUUGGUUGAUAUUUCUGGGACCAUAUAUAUAUAUAUAUAUAUAUAUAUAUAUAUAUAUAUAUAUAUAUAUAUAUAUCUUUUUAUCUGUCUAUGUAAUUAAAAAUUUUCUAGAGUGCCGCAAUGUAAAUGAAACAGUUAAAGCUGUUUCUUAACAAUUACU
RNAcentral lists this long non-coding RNA (577 nucleotides) under Olea europaea subsp. europaea. Lineage: Eukaryota; Viridiplantae; Streptophyta; Magnoliopsida; Lamiales; Oleaceae. The record is from RNAcentral.